AUGCCGGGCUCGACGUCCACGCUGCCAACUGGUCGCCCCUCACCAGGGCCACCGCCGCCGGCUUCCACCACCAUGUGCAUCUGUGCUUGGAGGAGGUCCCGCUGCAAGCCUGGGACUCUGACGUUGUUGGCAAGAUCAUUGGGAGCUCCUGCAUCAACCACUAUUUUGACGUCGCCACGGUGCAAAGGGAGCUCUGCUCUCAAGUUGUGGGCAUGGUGCUCCAACCCUUCUUCCAUCCCCAAGGUGAUGUGGGUUACCAUCGUCGGCAACGAGGUGGCAGUCUCGGCGGCUCCGCUGCGUGUCUGGCGUGGGCUCACCUACCGCGUCCUCGUCCACCUCGACCGCUCUGAGGACUUCGCGCCCUCCCAAGACGGCCACUUCCCGUCGCGUCCGCACAGCUCCGACAAGUUCGACUGGGAGUUCUGUUGCACAAUAAGCUAG
RNAcentral lists this ribosomal RNA (441 nucleotides) under Triticum aestivum (bread wheat). Its description in RNAcentral is "partial small subunit ribosomal RNA". Lineage: Eukaryota; Viridiplantae; Streptophyta; Magnoliopsida; Poales; Poaceae. The record is from RNAcentral.